AAGAGAAACGAAAAAAUCUCUUA
This 23-nucleotide non-coding RNA is filed under the name Arabidopsis thaliana (thale cress). Lineage: Eukaryota; Viridiplantae; Streptophyta; Magnoliopsida; Brassicales; Brassicaceae. The record is from RNAcentral.